This 85-nucleotide transfer RNA is filed under the name Planctomycetota bacterium. RNAcentral's name for it is "Planctomycetes bacterium (activated sludge metagenome) tRNA-Ser". It matches the Rfam family "tRNA". From Rfam's summary of the family: Transfer RNA (tRNA) molecules are approximately 80 nucleotides in length. The record is from RNAcentral. RNAcentral also lists the same sequence under 2 other names. Lineage: Bacteria; Pseudomonadati; Planctomycetota.
GGGUGAGUGGCCGAGUGGUUUAUGGCACUGGUCUUGAAAACCAGCGAGUCGAAAGGCUUCGGGGGUUCGAAUCCCUCCUCACCCG